This 514-nucleotide long non-coding RNA is filed under the name Anas platyrhynchos platyrhynchos (common mallard). RNAcentral's name for it is "lncRNA (ENSAPLG00000017192.1)". Lineage: Eukaryota; Metazoa; Chordata; Aves; Anseriformes; Anatidae. The record is from RNAcentral.
GGGGGAAAAUAUGAGAAACAAUCUUGUGGGAUUCAGUGAGGAAACACUUCAAAAAUAUAAUUUGAUUAGGACACAGCCUGUAUGAUUCAACGAGGGGGAGGAGGUAUUGCCUGGAAUAUGCAUCUGACAAACUUUCACAUCAAGAAUUACUAAAUUACUGUCAUGCAGCCAUGAGGCAGGGGCCAAAACAGCUUGUGGAAUAGACAACUUUUUUUUUUUCUUUUUUUUUUUUCUUUUACAAACUCAUAUACAGCAACUUUUUUGAGUUGUUGGCAACUAUGAAGGAGUCAGCAUCAUGAAUUGCUUUUGCUUCUGGUUCCAUUGAUAUAUUCUGCCUUUUUAUUUCUAUUAUGUUAUCACGUGCUGCAUGUCCUUCCUAAGUUCUCUGUUGGACUGGAGAACAGAAUCCAAAGGCAAGCAUUUGAGGUAUGCGGAUGAAGAGGUAAGAACAAUUUUAUUCAUAUUUAAUAAUACUUUUUCUUACUGAUAUUUUUAUACAUUUAAAAAAUCAAUU